Molecule: long non-coding RNA, 568 nt
Organism: Helianthus annuus (common sunflower)
Lineage: Eukaryota; Viridiplantae; Streptophyta; Magnoliopsida; Asterales; Asteraceae
Exons: 2
Source: RefSeq, a predicted model, not a curated record
UCCCAUCUCCUCCUCUCUUUAACCAAUUAACCUUGCUCUCUUUCCCUCUCUGACCUCCACCACCAUUACAACCAUUACCACUAACCACCAUUUUCGUCACACUACCACCGACCCCAAACAACCACCAUAAGAAAAUCAACCUCUUCACCACCGCCGUCAGAAACGACGCUGGCGACGGGAUUGGGUGGUCGGCGACGGGAUUUGAGUGCCAAUCCAUCGAAUCGAUCUCAUCCUCUACCUCUAGAUCCGAGUUAAGCACGUGAUAGGAUUUGAUGGUCGGCGGUCGUUGAAAACCCUAGAUCUGAUUUCAGGUGCAGAAAAUCAUCGGAGCGAAGAACGGGCUGGUGAAGACGGCAGAAAACGAUGUAACGGGUGGUGGGUGAUGUAAUGUUUAGAUCUGAGCUAUUGAGGAAAUUUAGUUGGUAUAAUGUUGAGUGAUUAAUUUGUUAUAUCUGAACAACAAAAUGAUGAGUAUUCCAAUUUUCACAAAGCACGACCAUAUGCUAAAUACUAAACAGAAACCCCUUUUGAGCCAUAGAUGGUGAAUGAACAAUACAGUUUAGAUCAA